Molecule: ribosomal RNA, 481 nt
Filed under: uncultured bacterium
Lineage: Bacteria
Description: bacterial SSU rRNA
Rfam family: Bacterial small subunit ribosomal RNA
Source: RNAcentral
AAUCAACGCUGGCGGCGUGCCUCAGACAUGCAAGUCGAACGAUUAAAGCUCUCUUCGGAGAGUGUAUAGAGUGGCGCACGGGUGAGUAACACGUAAGUAAUCUACCUUCGAGUGGGGAAUAACGUCCGGAAACGGACGCUAAUACCGCAUAAUGCAGCGGCAUCGCAAGAUGACAGUUGUUAAAGAUUUAUCGCUUGAAGAGGAGCUUGCGGCAGAUUAGCUAGUUGGUAAGGUAAUGGCUUACCAAGGCUACGAUCUGUAACCGGUCUAAGAGGACGGUCGGUCACACUGACACUGAAUAACGGGUCAGACUCCUACGGAGGCAGCAGUCGGGAAUUUUGGGCAAUGGGCGAAAGCCUGACCCAGCAACGCCGCGUGAAGGAUGAAGUAUUUCGGUAUGUAAACUUCGAAAGAAUGGGAAGAAUAAAUGACGGUACCAUUUAUAAGGUCCGGCUAACUACGUGCCAGCCGCCGCCGUAAU